This 115-nucleotide ribosomal RNA is filed under the name Periophthalmus magnuspinnatus. Lineage: Eukaryota; Metazoa; Chordata; Actinopteri; Gobiiformes; Gobiidae. The record is from RNAcentral.
AAUUGUGGCCAAACCGUGUCAAAGCCUGAUAUCGUCUAAUCUCAGAAUCUAAGCAGUGCUGGGCUUGAUUAGUACUUGAAUGGGAGACCACUGGGAAUACAAGGUGCCGCAGGUA